AUGCUCACUUUGGCAGCACAUAUACUAAAAUUGGGACGAUACGAAGAAGAUUAUAAUGGCCCCUGCACAAGGAUGACAUGCAAAUUCAUAAAGCGGUCCAUAUUUUU
Molecule: small nuclear RNA, 107 nt
Filed under: Nannospalax galili (Upper Galilee mountains blind mole rat)
Lineage: Eukaryota; Metazoa; Chordata; Mammalia; Rodentia; Spalacidae
Source: RNAcentral